RNAcentral lists this ribosomal RNA (220 nucleotides) under uncultured bacterium. Its description in RNAcentral is "partial 16S ribosomal RNA". It matches the Rfam family "Bacterial small subunit ribosomal RNA", at positions 524 to 743 of the family's 1533-position model. The record is from RNAcentral.
UACGUAGGGUGCAAGCGUUGUCCGGAAUUAUUGGGCGUAAAGAGCUCGUAGGCGGUCUGUCGCGUCUGCUGUGAAAUCUCAGGGCUUAACCCUGAGCUUGCAGUGGGUACGGGCAGACUAGAGUGCGGUAGGGGAGACUGGAAUUCCUGGUGUAGCGGUGAAAUGCGCAGAUAUCAGGAGGAACACCGGUGGCGAAGGCGGGUCUCUGGGCAACAACUGA